CACGAUAAUGGCAAACCUAUCGAAAGGUAGGGACGCAAAGCUAAAGGGCCUUCUGAAGAUGGCAGCCAGCUACCGAAG
Molecule: non-coding RNA, 78 nt
Filed under: Paenibacillus sp.
Lineage: Bacteria; Bacillati; Bacillota; Bacilli; Caryophanales; Paenibacillaceae
Also listed under: 1 other name
Description: c-di-GMP sequence
Rfam family: c-di-GMP-I-GGC riboswitch aptamer
Source: RNAcentral